CACAAGAGAGCUUGCUCUCUGGGUGACGAGCGGCGGACGGGUGAGUAAUGUCUGGGAAACUGCCUGAUGGCGGGGGAUAACUAGUGGAAACGGUAGCUAAUACCGCAUAACGUCGCAAGACCAAAGUGGGGGACCUUCGGGCCUCACGCCAUCAGAUGUGCCCAGGUGGGAUUAGCUGGUAGGUGGGGUAACGGCUCACCUAGGCGACGAUCCCUAGCUGGUCUGAGAGGAUGACCAGCCACACUGGAACUGAGACACGGUCCAGACUCCUACGGGAGGCAGCAGUGGGGAAUAUUGCACAA
Molecule: ribosomal RNA, 302 nt
Filed under: uncultured Serratia sp.
Lineage: Bacteria; Pseudomonadati; Pseudomonadota; Gammaproteobacteria; Enterobacterales; Yersiniaceae
Description: bacterial SSU rRNA
Rfam family: Bacterial small subunit ribosomal RNA
Source: RNAcentral